This 253-nucleotide ribosomal RNA is filed under the name uncultured bacterium. RNAcentral describes it as "partial 16S ribosomal RNA". It matches the Rfam family "Bacterial small subunit ribosomal RNA", at positions 524 to 776 of the family's 1533-position model. The record is from RNAcentral. RNAcentral also lists the same sequence under 1 other name.
UACGGAGGGUGCAAGCAUUAAUCGGAAUUAUUGGGCGUAAAGGGCGCGUAGGCGGAUUUGUAAGUCAGAUGUGAAAUUCCGAGGCUCAACUUCGGAGCUGCAUCUGAAACUACAAACCUGGAGGGAUGGCGGAGAAAAUGGAAUUCCACGUGUAGCGGUGAAAUGCGUAGAUAUGUGGAGGAACACCUGUGGCGAAAGCGGUUUUCUAGCUAUUUCCUGACGCUGAGGCGCGAGAGCAAGGGGAGCAAACAGG